Molecule: unclassified non-coding RNA, 247 nt
Filed under: Hevea brasiliensis (rubber tree)
Lineage: Eukaryota; Viridiplantae; Streptophyta; Magnoliopsida; Malpighiales; Euphorbiaceae
Source: RNAcentral
GCCUAAGCAUCUUUGAAUUGAGUGUUCUUUGCUCAUCAACACUUUGUAGUAGAAAUCAAGCAUGAUGACAAACACAUAAAUCUCCAAUUUUGUUUAAACUAAAACUAUUAGGAAUUCCCUAGAAGUCACUAGUGAUUAAUAUGAUACUUUUAGUGACAGAAAGUCACUUUCAAAGUCAUUCUGAUGAGAAACACUCUUUACCAACAGGUAAUGAAAAAGACGCUAAAAUAAAAUAAAAUAAAAUAAA